This 2921-nucleotide ribosomal RNA is filed under the name Bacillus cereus BDRD-ST26. Its description in RNAcentral is "23S ribosomal RNA". Lineage: Bacteria; Bacillati; Bacillota; Bacilli; Caryophanales; Bacillaceae. The record is from RNAcentral.
AUGGUUAAGUCCUCGAUCUAUUAGUAUUCGUCAGCUCCACAUGUCACCAUGCUUCCACCUCGAACCUAUCAACCUGAUCAUCUUUCAGGGAUCUUACUAGCUUACGCUAUGGGAAAUCUCAUCUUGAGGGGGGCUUCAUGCUUAGAUGCUUUCAGCACUUAUCCCUUCCGCACAUAGCUACCCAGCUAUGCCCUUGGCAGAACAACUGGUACACCAGCGGUGCGUCCAUCCCGGUCCUCUCGUACUAAGGACAGCUCCUCUCAAAUUUCCUACGCCCACGACGGAUAGGGACCGAACUGUCUCACGACGUUCUGAACCCAGCUCGCGUACCGCUUUAAUGGGCGAACAGCCCAACCCUUGGGACCGACUACAGCCCCAGGAUGCGAUGAGCCGACAUCGAGGUGCCAAACCUCCCCGUCGAUGUGGACUCUUGGGGGAGAUAAGCCUGUUAUCCCCGGGGUAGCUUUUAUCCGUUGAGCGAUGGCCCUUCCAUGCGGAACCACCGGAUCACUAAGCCCGACUUUCGUCCCUGCUCGACUUGUAGGUCUCGCAGUCAAGCUCCCUUAUGCCUUUGCACUCUACGAAUGAUUUCCAACCAUUCUGAGGGAACCUUUGGGCGCCUCCGUUACACUUUAGGAGGCGACCGCCCCAGUCAAACUGCCCACCUGACACUGUCUCCCGGGUCGAUAAGACCCGUAGGUUAGAAUUUCAAUACAGUCAGGGCGGUAUCCCACCAGCGCCUCCACCGAAGCUAGCGCUCCGGUUUCAAAGGCUCCCGCCUAUCCUGUACAAACUGUACCAAAAUUCAAUAUCAGGCUACAGUAAAGCUCCACGGGGUCUUUCCGUCCUGUCGCGGGUAACCUGCAUCUUCACAGGUACUAUAAUUUCACCGAGUCUCUGGUUGAGACAGUGCCCAAAUCGUUACACCUUUCGUGCGGGUCGGAACUUACCCGACAAGGAAUUUCGCUACCUUAGGACCGUUAUAGUUACGGCCGCCGUUUACUGGGGCUUCAGUUCAGAGCUUCGCUUACGCUAACCCCUCUCCUUAACCUUCCAGCACCGGGCAGGUGUCACCCCCUAUACUUCGCCUUACGGCUUCGCAGAGAGCUGUGUUUUUGCUAAACAGUCGCUUGGGCCUAUUCACUGCGGCUUUCCGUUAAGAAAGCACCCCUUCUCCCGAAGUUACGGGGUCAUUUUGCCGAGUUCCUUAACCAGAGUUCUCUCGCACACCUUAGGAUUCUCUCCUCGCCUACCUGUGUCGGUUUGCGGUACAGGCACCUUUUAUCUCGCUAGAAGCUUUUCUUGGCAGCGGGGAAUCAAAGACUUCGCUCCAUAAGGAGCUUCCCCAUCACAGCUCAGCCUUUACGAUAAGCGGAUUUGCCUACUUAUCAGCCUAACUGCUUGGACGUGCACAACCAAUCGCACGCUUCUUCUAUCCUUCUGCGUCCCUCCAUUGCUCAAACGAUAAAGAGGUGGUACAGGAAUAUCAACCUGUUGUCCAUCGCCUACGCCUGUCGGCCUCGGCUUAGGUCCUGACUAACCCUGAGCGGACGAGCCUUCCUCAGGAAACCUUAGGCAUUCGGUGGACGGGAUUCUCACCCGUCUUUCGCUACUCAUACCGGCAUUCUCACUUCUAAGCACUCCACCAGUCCUUCCGGUCUGACUUCACUGUCCUUAGAACGCUCCCCUACCACUGAUACCAUUCGGUAUCAAUCCGCAGCUUCGGUGGUGUAUUUAGCCCCGGUACAUUUUCGGCGCAGAGUCACUCGACUAGUGAGCUAUUACGCACUCUUUAAAUGGUGGCUGCUUCUAAGCCAACAUCCUAGUUGUCUAAGCAACUCCACAUCCUUUUCCACUUAAUACACACUUUGGGACCUUAGCUGGCGGUCUGGGCUGUUUCCCUUUUGACUACGGAUCUUAUCACUCGCAGUCUGACUCCUAAGGAUAAGUCAUUGGCAUUCGGAGUUUGACUGAAUUCGGUAAUCCGAUGAGGACCCCUAGUCCAAUCAGUGCUCUACCUCCAAGACUCUUACACUUAAGGCUAGCCCUAAAGCUAUUUCGGGGAGAACCAGCUAUCUCCAGGUUCGAUUGGAAUUUCUCCGCUACCCACACCUCAUCCCCGCACUUUUCAACGUGCGUGGGUUCGGGCCUCCAUUCAGUGUUACCUGAACUUCACCCUGGACAUGGGUAGAUCACCUGGUUUCGGGUCUACGACCACGUACUAAACGCCCUAUUCAGACUCGCUUUCGCUGCGGCUCCGCCUCUUCAGCUUAACCUCGCACGGGAUCGUAACUCGCCGGUUCAUUCUACAAAAGGCACGCCAUCACCCGUUAACGGGCUCUGACUAUUUGUAGGCACACGGUUUCAGGAUCUCUUUCACUCCCCUUCCGGGGUGCUUUUCACCUUUCCCUCACGGUACUGGUUCACUAUCGAUCACUAGGGAGUAUUUAGCCUUGGGAGAUGGUCCUCCCAGAUUCCGACGGAAUUUCACGUGUUCCGCCGUACUCAGGAUACAUUCAAGAGAGAACGAAGUUUCGACUACGGGGUUGUUACCCUCUACGACGGACCUUUCCAGGUCGCUUCGUCUACCUCGUUCCUUUGUAACUCCGUAUAGAAUGUCCUACAACCCCAAGAGGCAAGCCUCUUGGUUUGGGCUAUGUUCCGUUUCGCUCGCCGCUACUCAGGAAAUCGCAUUUGCUUUCUCUUCCUCCAGGUACUUAGAUGUUUCAGUUCCCUGGGUCUGUCUUCCUUACCCUAUGUAUUCAGAUAAGGAUACCAUACCAUUACGUAUGGUGGGUUUCCCCAUUCGGAAAUCUUCGGAUCAAAGCUUACUUACAGCUCCCCGAAGCAUAUCGGCGUUAGUCCCGUCCUUCAUCGACUCCUAGUGUCAAGGCAUCCACCGUGCGCCCUUUCUAACUUAA